RNAcentral lists this ribosomal RNA (762 nucleotides) under uncultured bacterium. RNAcentral's name for it is "bacterial SSU rRNA". It matches the Rfam family "Bacterial small subunit ribosomal RNA", at positions 771 to 1532 of the family's 1533-position model. The record is from RNAcentral.
AACAGGAUUAGAUACCCUGGUAGUCCACGCCGUAAACGAUGUCGACUUGGAGGCUGUUCCCUUGAGGAGUGGCUUCCGGAGCUAACGCGUUAAGUCGACCGCCUGGGGAGUACGGCCGCAAGGUUAAAACUCAAAUGAAUUGACGGGGGCCCGCACAAGCGGUGGAGCAUGUGGUUUAAUUCGAUGCAACGCGAAGAACCUUACCUACUCUUGACAUCCAGAGAAUUUAGCAGAGAUGCUUUAGUGCCUUCGGGAACUCUGAGACAGGUGCUGCAUGGCUGUCGUCAGCUCGUGUUGUGAAAUGUUGGGUUAAGUCCCGCAACGAGCGCAACCCUUAUCCUUUGUUGCCAGCGCGUAAUGGCGGGAACUCAAAGGAGACUGCCGGUGAUAAACCGGAGGAAGGUGGGGAUGACGUCAAGUCAUCAUGGCCCUUACGAGUAGGGCUACACACGUGCUACAAUGGCGCAUACAAAGAGAAGCGACCUCGCGAGAGCAAGCGGACCUCAUAAAGUGCGUCGUAGUCCGGAUUGGAGUCUGCAACUCGACUCCAUGAAGUCGGAAUCGCUAGUAAUCGUAAAUCAGAAUGUUACGGUGAAUACGUUCCCGGGCCUUGUACACACCGCCCGUCACACCAUGGGAGUGGGUUGCAAAAGAAGUAGACAGCUUAACCUUCGGGAGGGCGUUUACCACUUUGUGAUUCAUGACUGGGGUGAAGUCGUAACAAGGUAACCGUAGGGGAACCUGCGGCUGGAUCACCUCCUU